ACCCUUUCCAUUAUCUUCUGCCGUUAUCGUUAACUUUUGAAGAGGCAUUUUGGGAAAUUUUAUUAUAUUUAAUUAAAAUCAGACCUUUAUUUAAAUUUUCCGACUAUCUAAACGAUAUUUUUCGGAAUUCUAUUUUUCGGUAGUCUGCAAUAUAAUAGUGAUAUGUGUCUAUAUCUUUAUAUGUAGUACUCCAUAUGUGUCCUAGGUAGUUUAUCUUAGAGGACGAGAGUACGGAUUUUUUUACUCAGAAAGGAAAUCUCAAAAUUAACUUAUGGAACUAUAUUUAUAAAA
Molecule: long non-coding RNA, 291 nt
Filed under: Daucus carota (carrot)
Lineage: Eukaryota; Viridiplantae; Streptophyta; Magnoliopsida; Apiales; Apiaceae
Description: long non-coding RNA (DCAR_LNC001578)
Source: RNAcentral